AUUGAACGCUGGCGGCAGGCCUAACACAUGCGAGUCGAGCGGAGGAAGGGAGCUUGCUCCUGGAUUCAGCGGCGGACGGGUGAGUAAUGCCUAGGAAUCUGCCUGGUAGUGGGGGAUAACGUCCGGAAACGGGCGCUAAUACCGCAUACGGCCUGAGGGAGAAAGUGGGGGAUCUUCGGACCUCACGCUAUCAGAUGAGCCUAGGUCGGAUUAGCUAGUUGGUGGGGUAAAGGCCUACCAAGGCGACGAUCCGUAACUGGUCUGAGAGGAUGAUCAGUCACACUGGAACUGAGACACGGUCCAGACUCCUACGGGAGGCAGCAGUGGGGAAUAUUGGACAAUGGGCGAAAGCCUGAUCCAGCCAUGCCGCGUGUGUGAAGAAGGUCUUCGGAUUGUAAAGCACUUUAAGUUGGGAGGAAGGGCAGUAAGUUAAUACCUUGCUGUUUUGACGUUACCAACAGAAUAAGCACCGGCUAACUUCGUG
This 484-nucleotide ribosomal RNA is filed under the name uncultured bacterium. RNAcentral's name for it is "partial 16S ribosomal RNA". It matches the Rfam family "Bacterial small subunit ribosomal RNA", at positions 30 to 507 of the family's 1533-position model. The record is from RNAcentral.